GAUGAACGCUGGCGGCGUGCCUAAUACAUGCAAGUCGAGCGAACAGACGAGGAGCUUGCUCCUCUGACGUUAGCGGCGGACGGGUGAGUAACACGUGGAUAACCUACCUAUAAGACUGGGAUAACUUCGGGAAACCGGAGCUAAUACCGGAUAAUAUAUUGAACCGCAUGGUUCAAUAGUGAAAGACGGUUUUGCUGUCACUUAUAGAUGGAUCCGCGCCGCAUUAGCUAGUUGGUAAGGUAACGGCUUACCAAGGCAACGAUGCGUAGCCGACCUGAGAGGGUGAUAGGCCACACGGGAACUGAGACACGGUCCAGACUCCUACGGGAGGCAGCAGUAGGGAAUCUUCCGCAAUGGGCGAAAGCCUGACGGAGCAACGCCGCGUGAGUGAUGAAGGUCUUCGGAUCGUAAAACUCUGUUAUUAGGGAAGAACAAAUGUGUAAGUAACUAUGCACGUCUUGACGGUAACGAAUCAGAAAGCCACGGCUAACUACGUG
Molecule: ribosomal RNA, 497 nt
Filed under: uncultured bacterium
Lineage: Bacteria
Description: partial 16S ribosomal RNA
Rfam family: Bacterial small subunit ribosomal RNA
Source: RNAcentral